AACUGACCGCAAUGGAGAGAUCAGCGCCCAGGGAAGCGAGGGAACAGCAGGCUCCUUCCAGCAGCACAUCGGGAUGGGAGCCUGGGACACAGAGGGUGCUCCGAGACCGGGACUGUUUCGGGGUUGUGAUGCAAAUUCAAAGAAGACAGAAGAUCUGAUGAGUUAGAAUUGACAGUGGGGCAGUCAUGGCGUGUAAGAACACCAAGAUGUGGCCAUCUCUGCCAAGGUGGGAAGUGAAUACAAUCACGAAAUGUCCUUGAACGAAUUGACUUGCUCAGCCAAAAGGAGGGCAACCAGAAGUGGACACAAUACAUCAGAGCAAGCUUCACCAGUGUCCUGUACAACCACAACAUGGUGUCCGAACUCCAACACUCAAUGGUCCGUGCA
This is a long non-coding RNA of Hemiscyllium ocellatum (epaulette shark), 387 nucleotides long. RefSeq lists it as uncharacterized. The transcript has 4 exons. The record is from RefSeq and is a predicted model, not a curated record. NCBI's taxonomy places the organism in Eukaryota, Metazoa, Chordata, Chondrichthyes, Orectolobiformes, Hemiscylliidae.